Molecule: ribosomal RNA, 879 nt
Filed under: uncultured bacterium
Lineage: Bacteria
Description: bacterial SSU rRNA
Rfam family: Bacterial small subunit ribosomal RNA
Source: RNAcentral
AGAGUUUGAUCAUGGCUCAGGAUGAACGCUGGCGGCGUGCCUAACACAUGCAAGUCGAGCGAUCUUCUUCGGAAGAGAGCGGCGGACGGGUGAGUAACGCGUGGGCAACCUGCCUCAUACACAUGGAUAACAUACCGAAAGGUAUGCUAAUACAAGAUGAUAUAAGAGAUUCGCAUGGAUUUCUUAUCAAAGCUCCGGCGGUAUGAGAUGGACCCGCGUCUGAUUAGCUAGUUGGUAAGGUAACGGCUUACCGAGGCGACGAUCAGUAGCCGACCUGAGAGGGUGAUCGGCCACAUUGGAACUGAGACACGGUCCAAACUCCUACGGGAGGCAGCAGUGGGGAAUAUUGCACAAUGGGCGAAAGCCUGAUGCAGCAACGCCGCGUGAGCGAUGAAGGCCUUCGGGUCGUAAAGCUCUGUCCUCAAUGAAGAUAAUGACGGUACUUGAGGAGGAAGCCCCGGCUAACUACGUGCCAGCAGCCGCGGUAAUACGUAGGGGGCUAGCGUUAUCCGGAUUUACUGGGCGUAAAGGGUGCGUAGGUGGUUUCUUAAGUCAGGAGUGAAAGGCUACGGCUCAACCGUAGUAAGCUCUUGAAACUGGGAAACUUGAGUGCAGGAGAGGAAAGUGGAAUUCCUAGUGUAGCGGUGAAAUGCGUAGAUAUUAGGAGGAACACCAGUAGCGAAGGCGGCUUUCUGGACUGUAACUGACACUGAGGCACGAAAGCGUGGGGAGCAAACAGGAUUAGAUACCCUGGUAGUCCACGCCGUAAGCGAUGAGUACUAGGUGUCGGGGGUUACCCCCCUCGGUGCCGCAGCUAACGCAUUAAGUACUCCGCCUGGGGAGUACGCUCGCAAGAGUGAAACUCAAAGGAAUUGACGG